Molecule: ribosomal RNA, 481 nt
Filed under: Streptomyces phaeochromogenes
Lineage: Bacteria; Bacillati; Actinomycetota; Actinomycetes; Kitasatosporales; Streptomycetaceae
Description: bacterial SSU rRNA
Rfam family: Bacterial small subunit ribosomal RNA
Source: RNAcentral
GUAACACGUGGGCAAUCUGCCCUGCACUCUGGGACAAGCCCUGGAAACGGGGUCUAAUACCGGAUACUGAUCCGUCUGGGCAUCCAGACGGUUCGAAAGCUCCGGCGGUGCAGGAUGAGCCCGCGGCCUAUCAGCUUGUUGGUGAGGUAGUGGCUCACCAAGGCGACGACGGGUAGCCGGCCUGAGAGGGCGACCGGCCACACUGGGACUGAGACACGGCCCAGACUCCUACGGGAGGCAGCAGUGGGGAAUAUUGCACAAUGGGCGAAAGCCUGAUGCAGCGACGCCGCGUGAGGGAUGACGGCCUUCGGGUUGUAAACCUCUUUCAGCAGGGAAGAAGCGAAAGUGACGGUACCUGCAGAAGAAGCGCCGGCUAACUACGUGCCAGCAGCCGCGGUAAUACGUAGGGCGCGAGCGUUGUCCGGAAUUAUUGGGCGUAAAGAGCUCGUAGGCGGCUUGUCACGUCGGUUGUGAAAGCCCG